UGAGCAACAACUUGCAACUUGAUGCACACCUCAGGCUUAACAAUGCACAUUCAUAAUGGGAAACCCAACAAAGACACACAAACAAAGCAUGCAACAACAAGAAACAGUUAAAACAACACAAAAAAAUGAUGGAAAAAAAAUGGUGAGAGUGUAGGGGGCGCCUGGGCGCCCCUCAGGGGGCGCUGGGGCGCGAAAAGUGCAGAAUAGUGGCUACAAAGUGUGUCUGGCAGUGGCAGGUGGCGCCUGGGCGCCCUAUAGGGGGCGCCUGGGCGCGAAUUAUACAGAAAAAUCAGAGUUUGGUUCAGCAAUGCACGAGUCACCCAAAACAUACAACAGUAUUAUCAACACAACUUUCAACAAUCAAGCUAAGCCACAAGCAGAUUUUAACAAAAAGAACACCAAAAACAAGUUCAAAAAGGUAAAUGAAAAAGAAAAAGAAAAAACCAUACUUGAGUUGGAGUGGAUGGGAGUGAUUCUCGCAGAGAGUGGACCUUGAGUGGAAUGAUGUAGUGCGUGAGGGUUUGUGGGUGAGAGGGAAAAUUUUCGAAAGGGAAUGGGAGAUUGGGUGGAAUGCAAUGGUUGAAAAAGAGAGAGUGAUUGGAGGAGAGGGUUAGGGUUUGAAAAUGAAAGGGAAGUGGCAGUGAGAGGGAAGAACGUGAGAGGAUCUUGGUGGUGGUUGGGGCAACGAAGAAGUGGAGAGGAAAGUGGGUGAGUGGUGCUAAAGAGAGGGGCGCUAGGGUUAGAGUGUGUGAGAGAGGCAUAAGGGGAAAAGGGGCGCUAGGGUUAAAAAAGGAUUGG
Molecule: long non-coding RNA, 798 nt
Filed under: Vigna radiata
Lineage: Eukaryota; Viridiplantae; Streptophyta; Magnoliopsida; Fabales; Fabaceae
Description: long non-coding RNA (VRAD_LNC014573)
Source: RNAcentral